GAAAUUUUUAAAGCAGGAAUAUUUUCUUAAUUCUGUAUAACUGUAAUUGGAGCAAUGAUGUCGUGUCAAAUUUUUGAAGUGGAGUGCAGUGACUUGUAGUUUGUUAUAGCAGUAUUGAAUGAAACAGAAAGGAUUGCAUAUACCAAAUUUAAGGUAAGUGUAAUUUUAAUAUGAGAUUUGUGAUGUGAAUCAUUUGUUGUUCAUAAUAUGGUUGGUGGGAAGCUAGAUCUCAUAAGGAUAAUGGCAAAAUUGGGGUGCACAAAUAUUUUAAAAUAAAGUUAUGGAUAUUUUCUCAACAAUGUAAUAAUGUAAAGGAUUUUUUUGUCAUAAUAUUCAUCUUAGUAAUUCCAUGUAUUAAAAUGAUAUUUGAAUCCGUAACAAUUAGUUCCAGUUAGCUUGGGUGUUAUUAAGUUUUACAAUGAACAUUUUUAAAAUUAGGAACAGGAAAAUGAUACAUGCUUUACCUUCGUUCCAGAUCUCCUUUGUUUAUUUUUUUCCCCAAUUUUUUUGUUUGUUUUGUGCUGGACUAGGAAUGUAAACUUUAUGUUGCUAUGAACUUUAGUUUGAUUAUAAUAAAUAAAUGUAUCACUGAAUUUCAUAAAUUAAGUUGGUGGGAAGUAAUAAGCAUAAAUCGUGUGAGAUUGAUGGCGGUGUUAAAGAGGUUGGUGACGAUCAAAGUAUUGAAGGAAGAAGAAAAAGGAAAUGCCAUAAUGGGUUCAUAAGAUAUUUGUAAGCUUAGUUCAUUAAAAAUUAUAGAGAUGUAUAAUUUUGCAGUCAUAUGAUGAUAUUGCAGCAGUGAAGCCGUGCAUGAGGUUAAGGCAAGCGAUGGAAUGACUUGCAUUACAGAAGAGGUAUGUAAAGUUGCACUAUAAAGAUAAAAUAAAUUUGUAUUUUCAAUUAGUGGAGAUGUAGUUAGUUUAUCUGCCAUGAUUGUGUACUAGAUGGAAAUUGGAUCCACGUUUAAGGAUUUACCACCGGAGAGAAAAUGUUAAUACAAAUUGAAUGCGAACAAAUAGUGAAGUCAGAAGUGGCAAAGGCAAAGUUCUUGACUAGAUUCGCCCCAGAUAGAUUAGCGGCAGCAGUUUCGUAGCUGAUAGAUGAACAAAGAGUGGCUGCUUGUCAAAUGGGUUUUGGUAGUUUGCUACAACUGUGGUAGGCUAAAGAGGAAACUUUGUGGCAGUUUAAUUGAGAUGAUUGAUACUGUGAGGUACAUUUUAGAAACGAAUGGUAUUAGCUUUCGAACAAGAUCAUCGAAGAAACUCAACCAACCAGGAAAUUUAGACAUAAUCUAUGCUCUGUAAAUUCAGAUAUUCUCUAAUAUGAA
RNAcentral lists this long non-coding RNA (1324 nucleotides) under Citrus x clementina. Its description in RNAcentral is "Citrus clementina (C. clementina) long non-coding RNA (CCLE_LNC005467)". The record is from RNAcentral. Lineage: Eukaryota; Viridiplantae; Streptophyta; Magnoliopsida; Sapindales; Rutaceae.